CACCUGACUACAAAAAGAGAAUGAGACAGACAGAGCUCUGAGAAAAAAUCCUGCUUCUUGUCACAAGAGGAGCUGCUGGUCCAAAAAGACAAACUUGAAAGAGAACUAUACACUAUAUAGUCUACCUGUGAACAGAAAAAGGUUUGCACGUUGUUAUGGACUUUUGAAGCUGGAACACUGGCCAAUUUUACAAGGCUCCCAUCUGAAGUUUUUUCACUUUUAAUAAAGAGGUGUUGAAGAAUGCUCCCAGAUAAUGCUGCCGAGUUGAAGUCUGGACUAAUUACGUAAGUGCCACUGUUCUAUUGUGUUUUGUGAUACGUUAUUGCUUCUGUAGACACUAGAUGUUGUCAGAAGAAUGAACUAAAGAUAAAGCAACAGUUUCCUGUUGCGAGAUAUCUUCGAGAUGAAAAAGAGCCCUUGUAAUGUGUACAGCACACUGUAAAAAUUCAAGCUGUUGACUGACUUCAUAGUACGCCGAUGUUGCAAAACUCAAGAUUUCUUUAUUGGCAUGCCGAGUUGGAGUCUGGAUGUGUUAGAUUGAAGUUUUUAGACGAAUGAUAAAGAGAAUGCAACAAUUGCCUGUGUACAGCUGGCGAGUUAUCUCGGAGAUGAAGAACGGCCCUUCAAGCUGUUCACUGACUUCAUAAGUCUAUCUUUGUGUAUCUGCACAAAAACAAGACGAAUAUAAUGCCACCGUGGGAUGUGAAGACACGGACGUGAUAAUGAGAGACAUAAUUAUAUAAUGUAUAGCUGAACAGAAAUUAAUAUAUCUUGUUCUUGUCUUCUUUGUCUUUGAA
This is a long non-coding RNA of Halichondria panicea, 797 nucleotides long. RefSeq lists it as uncharacterized. The transcript is spliced from 11 exons. The record is from RefSeq and is a predicted model, not a curated record. NCBI's taxonomy places the organism in Eukaryota, Metazoa, Porifera, Demospongiae, Suberitida, Halichondriidae.